Molecule: long non-coding RNA, 753 nt
Organism: Hyla sarda
Lineage: Eukaryota; Metazoa; Chordata; Amphibia; Anura; Hylidae
Exons: 3
Source: RefSeq, a predicted model, not a curated record
GUAGGGACACUUCUAUGAGUUACUGUCUGUGAGGAAAUCACUCCCUAAGGCAGGGGUCUCAAACUGGUGGCCCUCCAGAUGUUGCAAAACUUCUACUCCCAGCAUGCCUGGACAUGCCCAGACAGCCAUUUGCUGCAGAUGACCGCUGUCUGGAAUGCUGGGAGUUGAAGUUUUGCAACAUCUGGGGAGCCAACAGUUUGAGACCCCUGCCCUAAGGCAACAAUAACAUGGCUUUAUGAAUAAGCUGCUAGCGUUUGCCGGAACCUUUCUGAAUGGGUGACACAUCAUGUUCUGGACCUAUGUGCGGCUUGCUUUUUGCACGACCAGUGGUACAAUUACAUUUUUCAUUGAACGGCAAAACAAAAAAUUUGUGGGGGAAAUUGAAAAGAAUCAGUGAUCCCGAGGAACUGAAAGCAGCCGUCACUUACAGUUUAUAAAGCGAGUGCAGCUUCAAGAAGACCAAAAGAACAAUUGCAUUUAAUAGAGCCGUCUUCUCAAAGAAAUUUCUAUUAUGCAUCAUGUAAGGUGGACUAAAUAUCUGUCACAGGAUAUCUGAUCUGGACAAGGGGGUUGGUCUUCCCAAAUAUUAACACUAUAAAGAGUCGUGAAUCUGACUAUACAAAUGAUGGAUCCUGAAGUCAGGAGAAUCCUGGAUUUCAGUCCCUUGUCUAAACCAUUUGACAUUAACCGGCGGUGUGCCCUUUACCCUGCACUCCAGGACCACAACUUGACCUUCAGAUGUUGUCAAGCUCU